This 642-nucleotide ribosomal RNA is filed under the name uncultured Mycena. Its description in RNAcentral is "eukaryotic LSU rRNA". The stretch from base 226 to 379 matches the Rfam family "5.8S ribosomal RNA". The record is from RNAcentral. Lineage: Eukaryota; Fungi; Basidiomycota; Agaricomycetes; Agaricales; Tricholomataceae.
CUCUUCACUGAGCAUGUGCUCGAUCCAUAACUAUUUAUCUUCUCUUGUGCACCUUUUGUAGUCUUUCAGAGCAAGUGAUAACUCUCGCAGCAAUGCGGUUUGGGGGACUUGGGCGUGAGCCCUUCCCCUGCGUUUGCUUCUUUGGAGGGCUAUGUUUUCAUAUACACUAUAAAGUUACAGAAUGUCUUUUAAAGAUUGUGCUAGUCGCAGUCAUUAAACCUAUACAACUUUCAGCAACGGAUCUCUUGGCUCUCCCAUCGAUGAAGAACGCAGCGAAAUGCGAUAAGUAAUGUGUAUUGCAGAAUUCAGUGAAUCAUCGAAUCUUUGAACGCACCUUGCGCCCUUUGGUAUUCCGAAGGGCAUGCCUGUUUGAGUGUCAUUAAAUUCUCAACCCAAAAAGCUUUUACGAGCUCUUUUGUGGCUCGGAUGUGGGGGUUUUUGCUGGCUUCCUUCAGUGGAUGGUCUGCUCCCCUUAAAUGCAUUAGUGGGAUCUCUUGUGGACCGUCACUUGGUGUGAUAAUUAUCUAUGCCAGUUGACUUUGAAGCAAAACUUAUGGGAACCCGCUCAUAACCGUCUUCGGACAACUUAUUGACAUUUUGACCUCAAAUCAGGUAGGACUACCCGCUGAACUUAAGCAUAUC